GAAUUUUUUCUCUCGGCCGUCCUGUAACAAUGGACCAUUUCCGACAACGCGUAUGCGCAUGCCCAGCCCUCGAGUCCGCCAUCUUUGAGCGGAAAACAUCGCCAUGGACCCACCUGCGGGCGACUGUCAUGUUCAUUGUGGGGAGAUAAUCGGUUUCAAGGUUACGCGGACGUUUGAGGUCUGGUAAUGAGUACAAUGCGCUUUCACUCUUUUCGCACUCUUCUUCCAAUCUUCUCUUGGUACUUUCCCAUGCAACGUACGUGCCAGUUCGUAAAGCGUCACCAUUAUUGAGGGGAAAGACACGACGUUCGACAUUCCACCGCCAGGGGCGACGCAAAUAUGGAAAAGGUCCAUUGAACCAUCCUGUAUGCAAUAAGGGGAUAAGUCGAAAAAUCCCCAAAAAGAGAAAAGGGGCCUGAUCUGAUUGUCCGUCCCAUUGACACGCGUGCAUUUCCCGUUUUUUUUACCGUGCUGUAGCGGGCCAACAAAUCGCGAUAAGGUUCCAAGUUUUCAUUGGCAGGUGCAUACUGGUAUGUAGAUGUCGUCGCAACAAAAAUAGUAAAAAGAGGAUAAGUCGACUUAUCCGCUUAUUGCGUACGGAGGUUCAAUGGCUGACGGGCCAAAAGCGAGGCGACAUGUUCUCGUAUUGGUGGAAUGCACCAGCUCAACGUAACUUGACAAGACAACAAAAUUUGUAAGUUGCACGUUUCAAUGCCUGUACGAGCAUCAACAUCAAGACCUGACACAAAAUGUCACCAGUACUUGGAGAGUGCCUGGCUGCUGACUUACAACAACAACAAACUCGGAAAACGAAAUGUACAACUUUUAACAUUUUUUUUUAAUCUUUUAGUAUUUUAAUAUUAUCUAUCUUUCUUAAUAUAUAAUCUUUAAACAUCUUUUAAUAUUUUUUUCCUGUCAAGUUAUGUCGAGCCACCGUGUUUUCACCGAUAGAAGACCCCCCCAAGAUACCUGGACAUGUCACCAACCGUGUAUUCACGCGAGCGACAUUCCCCCGGAGGCGGAAGAUGCGAAAAGCGACAUGGUUUUCUGCUGUCGCGUGAGCGCGAGCGCUCAACGUCGUGUCUUCAUGUACACUGCUAACCGCGAGGAAUAUCCUACUACAGAGCCACAAGAUAUUCGGUGGCAGACAGGAAAACACGCUGACGGCGUCGUCUGCUAAGUGUCGUCUGCUAAGCGCGCAGUACGCCACUCCCGAUAUUCCGCACCGUUUUGAAUGCUCAACAUAACAUGGGACGGAACUUCCACUAGAAUAUUAGGAUGUCCCUCGUGUGAAUACAUGGCAAUACCCCUGUUGCACGGGCAGUCUUCAAUCAUAAUUGGUACCAACGGCCAUUUAAAGUGCACGUGGCGCCACCAAGCGUCUAACGCGUCAACUUCUCAAGUGGCACGAUAUCCAAUGCACCUUGACAGGUUGUCGAGCUACACACUUUGUGGCACUGCUUGCACUUCCAAUCACCAUUGACUUAGAUGAUCAUUGAGUAGUGCCCAUGUGACAGGCACGUUGUACUCCUUCCCGUCACAACUGCACUUUUAGAGACAGUUGCCAUGGAAACAAACCGUAGUUGCAGGGUCUCUCUGGUUGAGAUCGUCUGUGGCGCGAUUCAUCAAAGCAGACGGCACCAAGACUCCACGUGACCAUGCGGUGAAAGAGAGGAAAGGAGGUGUUGAGUUUGACUGAGUAAGAAUACCCGCAUUCGUGUUUCCUGUGCCCCCUUCACUUACGUUGACAUACUGAGUCACGCUGUCGUCUGCUUGAGCCAAUCACAGCAGACGAUUUCAAACGGGCUACAUCAUAGCCAAACAAACAUUUCAGUUUCACAGUGCGUGUGUGCGUUUGCAAAUCUACUUUCUCAAAUAAAACACGUUGCGAGAUUUUGCAUUGAGUCGAAGUUUGGAGUAUUGGGCUGUUUGGUGAGGUAGCGUAGUAAGACGAAAAAUGUGCACAGACAGGCAAAAGUGUGAGGGAACGAACCACGUAGGACAAGCGCUAAAUUGCAACCGAGAAAACCACAAGACGAAAGUCACCCUUCAUUGUGACAUACAAAAGAUGUCACAGUGGUGGAACUUCACAUGCAUGCCGUUCGUGGUUUGCUUUUUAUUAUUAUACCACCUCAGUUGAACCUCUGUAUGCAAUAAGCGGAUAAGUCGAACUAUCCACUUUUUAGUAUUUUUGUUGCAACGGCAUCUACAUACCAGUAUGUACCUGUCAAAGAAAAUUUAGAACCGUAUUGCAAUUUAUUACACUCGAAAUUCAAAUUGACUGAAAUUCAUGCGUGUCAAUGGGAUGAACAGCAGGAUCCCUACCUCAUGUAACUGUGUCAGCAGUGCUACUGAGCGCUGUAGUCGGAAAAAAACGUGUGCACUAUGCUAAUAAGUCAUAUCUUGCUGGCCCUACAGAACAUUAUUUUCAAUAUUGUGCUCGUUUAGCAGCACGAUAACCACGAUCUAGGCUGCUCCACUGCACAAAGGUCACCAUGAAAGUCAGAUUCGUAAAAAAAAAAUUUUACUGCACGAAAACCCUGUGUGUGCGGAGUUAUAUGGAGAAAGGGGAUAUGUCAUGCUGCUGUGUUUUGUUUAAUUUCUGCCAAGACACACAUCCAGAAAUGAUGCUAAAGGGACAUGCAUGUAGAGUAGACUCGUGCUUAUUUGUUACACAUUUUGCAUUUGCGUUAUUCGCGGAAGCUCAUCUGCAGUUACUUCACCAAAUAUUCACUCCCAGUUUUCUCUCGGUUUGGAAUUUUUCCGACUUGUCCCCUUAUUGCGUACAGAGGCUCAAUUGCGAGCCAAAAUCUAUUGAUGUUGGAAGAUUCAGAGUGCUUGUUAAUUGGUGGUAGCGUUGGGUCGUCAUUAGAGCCCGAAGUUUUUCGGGAAAUAUUUUUUUUCUAAAUUCCGGUGGGGUGGGGUUGGGGCAAAAGAUCGGGUAAAUAAACGUGUGCUCUCAGUUCACGCGCAGUGAGUGUAAGUUAAAGCAGUAAAAAGUCCAUGCAGCAGUUAAAGCAGUGUAAAGACGGGGGGGGAAGAGGGACGACACAACAAGAAUUCUCGAAACGCAGCGAAAAUUUUUUAUUUACCAAACUCUAUACAGUCAAACCUCGCUUUACGAACACCCUUCGUUUCUCAGAAAAUCGUUCGUAAAUCGAGGUAUUCGUAAAUCGAGGUCCGAGGUCUGCAGUGCACAAAUACCUCACGAAUCCACGGGAAAUUGAUUUGAAUAAGUUUUAUUUUUGAAAAUACUGCGUAAUUGUGCUUUGCACCACACUUUCUGCAGGGACUAUCCUGUUUAGAAGAGAUGACAGAAGUCUGACACUUGACUCAUGCACCCUGUCCUCAAAGUACCGUAUCGCGCGCGGAUGAGACUGUUUCCAACGGCAAAUAUCACGCUUGUCACCGGCUGUCAGGACUGAACGCUUUCUUGGAACGGCAAGAUGUUUCCAUCUCGGAGACCUGGUCCAAACUCACAACCCUCCGGCUGUAAACGCCCGAAUUAUUCUUUCAGGAAAUGGGGAAUCAUGUUUGUGGAACGUAGUGGCGUUGGGACAUUGUAUGUUUGACCUUGGCAGCAUGUACUGAGGAACUUUCAUUAUCCUCCGGUCCAUUGGCCUGUCCUCUGUCCGUUCAUAACGCCCGUUCGUAUAUCGAGGUCAGAAUGGCUUGGCUACUUUGGGUCCGUUCCCUCAUAAUCCGUUCAUAGUUCGGAUAUCGAGGGUUCGUAAAACGAGGUCAAAAUACACGGAAAAAGUUUGGUUCCCUGUGGAGCCGUUCGUAAGUUGAGGGAAUUCGUAUAUCGAGGGUUCAUAAAACGAGGUCCGACUGUAUAUUCAAAAACCUCCGGAGAGGAGGAAGAGGAAGGAGGGAAGGCUCGCUUACGCAGUUGCCACGUGUACUAAUCUCGCAGGUCUCCCUGAGCAACCUACGCCAAGUGUUCUUUUCUUUGCACAAAACUUUGGUCUCGGGGGGGGAAAACCGGCUUACAGCCCCUGCAUUCACGGAGAUGCUGCACGAGUUGGCUCGACACAAAGCUCCGUUCAUUGUUGCGCGAGUGUUCCCGUAAACGGUCAUUGAGGCAGCGUCCCGUUUGCCCUGCAUAGCAAAAGCCGCAUUCAAGGGGGAUAGAAUAGACAACAGAGCGGUUACAGGGCACUAGCGGAUCACGGUGCUUGACAUUUAUCGAACUGACAAGCAUGCAGUAGCUGUGACUAGUUACAUUUAAAAAAAGAGUAGUUGUAACACGGUUACUACUUCUACAGUCUAGCUGUAACUUUAACUUAGUUACAAUUUUUUUCAGUGAGUUACAGUGUUAAGUUUGUGAGUUACUUUUUUUUUAUCGAACUGACUAGCAUGCAGUAGCUGUGACUAGUUACAUUUAAAAAAGAGUAGUUGUAGCACGGUUACUACUUUUACAGUCUAAACUGUAACUUUAACUUAGAACAGUUUAAGUAGAACUAGAACUUUAAAAACAGAAGAAAAUGGUGUUAACUUGCUUAGCUUCAAAGCAUUUGAAAAAACGAUCUCUAUGCCGUGUCAUGACGUGUCAUCAGGGAACUUUCGGGUGAAACGAAAGGCAUAUGAAACAAGCCAUUGCUGCGAGUGACACUGGGACUAGAAACAGGGAUCUUUAUAUUUCUGCACGGAACUGGGGCAGUCAAUGACAGCGGUAUUCAGACACUUGCCCCGCAAAAGCUCGUCUUUGACUCCUGCAGGAGGGGAUUAUAAAAGGAGGACAAAUACGUUGUCACAAAUAGCCCUCUGAUAUUAUGAUUCACUUUUCUGACAGUUUAACUAGAACGACAAGUUGAAGGACCGUAAGGAUUUCGGGUAGAUAUCGGAUUUUACCCGGAUUUUUGAAGGCUUGUUCGGGGGGGACUAACUAUGACUCUGUGGUGUGAAGUAGAGCCCUGCGCGGAUGAGGUUUUUGGCAUCCGCAUCCGACCCGCAUCCGCGCACAUGUUAUUCGCAUCCGAUCCGCAUCCGCACCAUACACAACAGUUUACAUCCGCAUCCGAUCCGCUGAGCAAAACGCACCAUCCGCAUCCGAUCCGCAAAAAUCCGCACGUUUCGAAAGACCGCCGGAAGCAUGUUGGUAUAAUUUCGGAUGCCUCCAUGCUGUCACGGAAGGACUCAGUCAUGACGACAAGCAAAGGUAAACCUUUCAACAAACGGGAUAUGGAGAGACUUUUGGAACGCGUGGAACGCUACCUCGUCGGUGCUCGCGCGGUUCGAGACGCCUAAAUGCCUCCUCUCCCGUCUUGGCGCCCUGCAUGGUCAAAGGUGAACCAGAGCAUGCGCUCGCUGUCGGUUCUCGGCGUGCAAUACAAAUAAAUUGCGGGUGGAAAAAUGACAGCACGCGGUAUAUCCGCAUCCGAUCCGCUACCGAUCCGCUGCCUUCAUAUCCGCAUCCGACCUCGAGCCAUCCGCAUCCGAUCCGCACACCGCAGAAAGUGCUAAAUUUUCAUCCGAAUCCGCAAGUAUAUUGCGGAUAUCCGCGGAUAUCCGCUUCCAUCCGCGGAUGGUGCAGGGCUCUAGUGUGAAGUACUUCGUAUGGUGCAUCUUACUGGCCUACUUAACAGGUUUAUAUCAAGAAAGCAGGGUGUUAAAAAUGACUUAAGUGCUACUUUAACAACCUUGAGCAUGUGGGCUUAACUUAAGUACACUUGGAUUGCCUAGUAUCCCCUUUGCCCCCUCUCCCACCAGAAAUCUCACAACAACCCCCAAAAUAUUUGUGGAAGCGAUCAAGUCUGGAACCCAGCGUUUGAUUUCAACUUCAGAAGGGGAUUGUGCGCCAUCGUUCAACAUCAACUGUGAGAUUAUAUGGUAUCGGCAUUUGUUCGACGUCACACCACAUCCUAGGCUCACGACUCAACCUUGCAUCAUUCUCUGUUCGAUGUCGAAUGAACGGCCAUGGUGCCACGUGACGUUGAUGUUGAGUGAUGGCCUACGACCACUUCUGAUGUGAUGGUGAACGAGUCACCGUGGACCAUCGUGAAUGAAUUCCCCGGCUUGUACUGCUAGGCCGGAGUUAAUCCUGGAGACACUUUCUGGUGAGCAUAAUCUGUUUUUUUGGGGGGGGUUUAUGUCAUUUUUAUUUAUUUAUUUAUUUAUGAUGGAGCGCACACAAUACUGUCGGGCUGUAACUGAUAUUGCAUUUAAGAAAUAUUGCUGCUCUUGCCCUAAAAACAAAGGGCAGUCCAUUGGUUGACCGUUACGUUCUAGGUGGGACCAGUGCCUUAUCUAGAACACGAUGUCUUGAUUUACAGAUAUGGUGUGUGGGGGGUUCAUUGCUACAGUUAUGUUGCAACAGCUUUAUGUAUCAUUGCUGGUGUCACUGAUAACACCGCCCCGUGCCUGUACGGUGCGUUGGGGAAGGAGAAAUGUUUUGGGGUGUCAGCUAUGUCACUCCGGUAUUGCAGUAUUUCCCACGUGUCAGAUCUCUGAUGUCAUUUUGUCAAGGCGAGAAGUGCCCUGCCGUUUUUCCCAACCAGCCGAGUCCUCUUGUCUUGCACACUACGAGGAUGGACUUGGACCAACUUCCAUGGCGUCGGACUGGCCCGUAGGAAAUGUCCUCUGUUUGUGCCAUGGCAUAUAGCCAUGCUUGGACAGUACAACUGCAAAAACAAAGUUUCCCAAGGAGCACACUUGUAAUGCUCGACAAGCGUACGAAGUCGAAGUGUUUGAAGAAGUUGCGUGUUCUUCUUGUCUUGUAUUCUCCCUCAAGCUGGAGGUGACGCUAUCAUCAAGUCAACACCAGAAAACAUAACGAAGUGGGGCACAAGGAGGACUUCUUUGCACACUCCUGGUGUUGCAGUGUCCGUGGACCUGAAGAGAACCCCAGGAAGCGUUGUGGAGCCAAGUGGUGUCUCUAAUGGAAGACUACUGCUUCACGUUUCAGUGACCACAGCUGCUAUGUGUAGCAGUCUCCUAUGUGUUAGAAGAGAGGACAUAUUAGGCAACGCAUCCCCAGAGAAGGAAAUGCAUUCCAAGUCAGUGUGUGUGUGGUUGACCUCCAGUAAAACAUGAAACAGUGGAAGCGGAGAGAACGGCAGCAGCAGCAGCCACGUACGAGUGUUCCGUGUGCUACAGCAUGUUCGUCUCCGAAGAGUACCUGC
This is a long non-coding RNA of Ornithodoros turicata, 7124 nucleotides long. RefSeq lists it as uncharacterized. The record is from RefSeq and is a predicted model, not a curated record. The transcript has 4 exons. NCBI's taxonomy places the organism in Eukaryota, Metazoa, Arthropoda, Arachnida, Ixodida, Argasidae.